RNAcentral lists this ribosomal RNA (281 nucleotides) under uncultured bacterium. RNAcentral describes it as "partial 16S ribosomal RNA". It matches the Rfam family "Bacterial small subunit ribosomal RNA", at positions 28 to 334 of the family's 1533-position model. The record is from RNAcentral.
GAUGAACGCUGGCGAGAUGCUUUACACAUGCAAGUCAUACGAGAGUUUUUAACUCAAGUGGCGGACGGGUGAGUAACACGUAAGAAUUUGCCUUUAGGAGGGGGAUAACAACUGGAAAUGGUUGCUAAUACCCCAUAUGCUUUCGAGUGAAAUGGAUUUUUCCGCCUAGAGAGAAGCUUGCGCCUGAUCAGCUUGUUGGUAAGGUAAUGGCUUACCAAGGCGACGAUCAGUAUCUGGUUUGAGAGGACGAUCAGACACACUGGAACUGAGACACGGUCCAG